MicroRNA precursor from Sorghum bicolor (sorghum), 228 nucleotides. It matches the Rfam family "MIR6217 microRNA precursor family". Lineage: Eukaryota; Viridiplantae; Streptophyta; Magnoliopsida; Poales; Poaceae. The record is from Rfam.
UGGCUACAAAAUAACUUAUUUUGUAGCCACUUUGAGUUACGAUAAUUACUAUAUUGAUUUACAAGAUUAUAGUAACUCCUUACUAAGUGGUUUACUAUAACAUUACGGUAAAUAUUCUCAUGUGUUAUAGUAACCCAACCAUCGUAAAUAUGUAUACAUAUUAUCAUAAAUUAAUAUAUAAAAUUAUCAUAAAUGGAGGUGGCUACAGAAUAACAUAUUUUGUAGCUA